GUCAGCCGCCGCGGUAACACCGGCGGCCCGAGUGGUGAUCGUGAUUAUUGGGUCUAAAGGGUCCGUAGCCGGUUUGGUCAGUCCUCCGGGAAAUCUGAUAGCUCAACUAUUAGGCUUUCGGGGGAUACUGCCAGACUUGGAACCGGGAGAGGUAAGAGGUACUACAGGGGUGGGAGUGAAGUCUUGUAAUCCCUGUGGGACCACCUGUGGCGAAGGCGUCUUACCAGAACGGGUUCGACGGUGAGGGACGAAAGCUGGGGGCACGAACCGGAUUAGAUACCCGGGUAGUCCCAGCCGUAAACGAUGCUCGCUAGGUGUCAGGCAUGGCGCGACCGUGUCUGGUGCCGCAGGGAAGCCGUGAAGCGAGCCACCUGGGAAGUACGGCCGCAAGGCUGAAACUUAAAGGAAUUGGCGGGGGAGCACAACAACGGGGUGGAGCCUGCGGUUUAAUUGGACUCAACGCCGGACAACUCACCGGGGGCGACAGCAAUAUGUAGGCCAAGCUGAAGACUUUGCCUGAAUCGCUGAGAAGAGGUGCAUGG
Molecule: ribosomal RNA, 542 nt
Filed under: uncultured archaeon
Lineage: Archaea
Description: bacterial SSU rRNA
Rfam family: Archaeal small subunit ribosomal RNA
Source: RNAcentral